GGUUACUGCUAUCGAGGUUCGACUAAGCCAUGCGAGUCGAAUGUAGCAAUACAUGGCGAACUGCUCAGUAACACGUGGACAACCUGCCCUUAGGUUGGGUAUAAACCCGGGAAACUGGGUAUAAUACCCGAUAGGUCUCGAUUGCUGGAAUGCAUCGAGAUUUAAAAGCUCCGGCGCCUAAGGAUGGGUCUGCGGCCUAUCAGGUAGUAGUGGGUGUAGCGUACCUACUAGCCUACGACGGGUACGGGUUGUGAGAGCAAGAGCCCGGAGAUGGAUUCUGAGACACGAAUCCAGGCCCUACGGGGUGCAGCAGGCGCGAAAACUUUACAAUGCUGGCAACAGCGAUAAGGGGAACCUCGAGUGCCAGGUUACAAAUCUGGCUGUCGAGAUGCCUAAAAAGCAUUUCAUAGCAAGGGCCGGGCAAGACCGGUGCCAGCCGCCGCGGUAACACCGGCGGCGUCGAGUGGUAACCGUUAUUAUUGGGUCUAAAGGGUCUGUAGCCGGCCGGAUAAGUCUCUUGAGAAAUCU
RNAcentral lists this ribosomal RNA (528 nucleotides) under uncultured archaeon. RNAcentral's name for it is "bacterial SSU rRNA". It matches the Rfam family "Archaeal small subunit ribosomal RNA", at positions 21 to 552 of the family's 1478-position model. The record is from RNAcentral.